This 383-nucleotide ribosomal RNA is filed under the name uncultured bacterium. RNAcentral's name for it is "bacterial SSU rRNA". It matches the Rfam family "Bacterial small subunit ribosomal RNA", at positions 30 to 396 of the family's 1533-position model. The record is from RNAcentral.
AGUGAACGCUGGCGGCAGGCCUAACACAUGCAAGUCGAGCGGCAGCGGGUUCCCGCGAGGGGAUGCCGGCGAGCGGCGGACGGGUGAGGAACACAUCGGAAUCUGCCUGGUUGUGGGGGAUAACGUAGGGAAACUUACGCUAAUACCGCAUGCGACCCUGAGUCGACGGACUGGGGGUGAAAGUGAGGGACCUUCGGGCCUCACGCGACCAGAUGAGCCGAUGUCGGAUUAGCUAGUUGGCGGGGUAACGGCCCGCCAAGGCGACGAUCCGUAGCUGGUCUGAGAGGAUGAUCAGCCACACUGGGACUGAGACACGGCCCAGACUCCUACGGGAGGCAGCAGUGGGAAUCUUGGACAAUGGGCGCAAGCCUGAUCCAGCCAUG